CCUCUGUGUAUCGAUACAAGAAUGACUGCUUAUCAUAUUUUGGGGUAUGCAUUCCUUUGAUUCCAACCAGUGUAAAAUGUUCCACCCCAUAUUCUCACACCAAGACCUGUCUCCUUGAGAACAGAAGAGCCUUUUACCCCAAACUCACGGCCACUGUCUCCCUUAAUGAGGGUGUGCUCAGCACCAUGUGUGAGCAGGGGCAGAGCCCCCUUUCCAGACACAGCCUUUGCCCCAGAAGCCAUGCCUUCUGGCUCAGUAGCAGGAACACAGGCUCUAACCUGCUUGCCUAAAGAGAGUCAUGCUGAGUCUCUACAUGGAAGUGUCUGCCUACAAAGGCAACAAGCUUCUCCAUCCACUUGAGGCUUACCAUCUCCGCAGGCCAGCCAGAGAGAAGUACAGCCCAUGAGAGAGAGACACCUCCAAGUCCUUCCCACCCCACCCCCACCACAGCCACUCAGCCCCAUCCUUCCAGCCACGUUGCCUUGGAAACCAGAACAAUUCCCCAAACAUCCCAAGAUUCCCACGCACUCAGGAACUCUCCUGGAGAUGGGUGGGGGACAACAGCAAUUGUUUUCACAGAUGAAGGGACCAGGAGAGAGCAGGUUGGAGCCCGUGGGUUACUUACAGCUGGCCCUCCAGCUACUCCACACAAACCCAGGGAGCGGAAACCUGAGUGUGAGCUCAAAACAGACUCCUGGCCAGCUAACCCUGACUUGA
This 717-nucleotide long non-coding RNA is filed under the name Mus spicilegus (steppe mouse). Its description in RNAcentral is "lncRNA (ENSMSIG00000025990.1)". Lineage: Eukaryota; Metazoa; Chordata; Mammalia; Rodentia; Muridae. The record is from RNAcentral.